This 266-nucleotide ribosomal RNA is filed under the name uncultured bacterium. Its description in RNAcentral is "partial 16S ribosomal RNA". It matches the Rfam family "Bacterial small subunit ribosomal RNA", at positions 1235 to 1500 of the family's 1533-position model. The record is from RNAcentral.
UGGUACAACGAGUCGCCAACCCGCGAGGGUGCGCUAAUCUCUUAAAACCAUUCUCAGUUCGGAUUGCAGGCUGCAACUCGCCUGCAUGAAGUCGGAAUCGCUAGUAAUCGCGGAUCAGCACGCCGCGGUGAAUACGUUCCCGGGCCUUGUACACACCGCCCGUCACACCACGGAAGUUGGGAGUACCCAAAGUAGGUUGCCUAACCGCAAGGAGGGCGCUUCCUAAGGUAAGACCGAUGACUGGGGUGAAGUCGUAACAAGGUAAC